This is a long non-coding RNA of Mauremys reevesii (Reeves's turtle), 404 nucleotides long. RefSeq lists it as uncharacterized. The record is from RefSeq and is a predicted model, not a curated record. The transcript is spliced from 3 exons. Lineage: Eukaryota; Metazoa; Chordata; Testudines; Geoemydidae.
GCUAACAUACCUGCUCCUCAAUACUUUCCUGUAGCCAUCCGGCCUUGCUCCAUCACAAUACACAGUGGUCAAUUCAUUUUGUGUGUCAUGGGCCACGUGGACCAGUAGUCUUUAGUCAGGCAAUGCCCAUGGAGUCAAUAGACUGAAUUUUUGGAAGGACAGAAUUUCCUCAUCUUAUAGGUUAGGUGGCAGCUCAGAGGGGAUUUUGUAGAUGGCAGUGGUGCUUAAAACUGGGGGUUUAGGAACCUAAUCCCCAUUGUGGCACCCAUAUGAACUCAAGAGAUGACAAAACCGCAGUCCAGAGUUGCUCACAAACUAGAGGAGUAAUCUCUUCCUAAAUUUAUAGCAUUCUGCUAUGAAGAACAGUGUGGCUCUUCCUGAGAAAAUUACUUUCACUGAGCAAC